This 560-nucleotide ribosomal RNA is filed under the name uncultured Glomus. Its description in RNAcentral is "SSU rRNA". It matches the Rfam family "Eukaryotic small subunit ribosomal RNA", at positions 546 to 1106 of the family's 1831-position model. Lineage: Eukaryota; Fungi; Glomeromycota; Glomeromycetes; Glomerales; Glomeraceae. The record is from RNAcentral.
AAUUGGAGGGCAAGUCUGGUGCCAGCAGCCGCGGUAAUUCCAGCUCCAAUAGCGUAUAUUAAAGUUGUUGCAGUUAAAGAGCUCGUAGUUGAAUUUCGGGAUCAAUAUUUCGGUCAUGCCGUUGGUAUGCACUGUUAUCAUUGAUUUCUCACCUUCUAAAGAACCGUAAUGCCAUUAAUUUGGUGUUACGGGGAAUUAGGACUGUUACCUUGAAAAAAUUAGAGUGUUUAAAGCAGGCUCACGCUUGAAUACAUUAGCAUGGAAUAAUGAAAUAGGACAUCCGAUUCUAUUUUGUUGGUUUCUAGGAUCGAUGUAAUGAUUAAUAGGGAUAGUUGGGGGCAUUAGUAUUCAAUUGUCAGAGGUGAAAUUCUUGGAUUUAUUGAAGACUAACUACUGCGAAAGCAUUUGCCAAGGAUGUUUUCAUUAAUCAAGAACGAAAGUUAGGGGAUCGAAGACGAUCAGAUACCGUCGUAGUCUUAACCAUAAACUAUGCCGACUAGGGAUCGGAUGAUGUUAAUUUUUUAAUGACUCAUUCGGCGCCUUACGGGAAACCAAAGUGU